GACGAACGCUGGCGGCGUGCUUAACACAUGCCAGUCGAACGGAAAGGCCCUGCUUUUGUGGGGUGCUCGAGUGGCGAACGGGUGAGUAACACGUGAGUAACCUGCCCUUGACUUUGGGAUAACUUCAGGAAACUGGGGCUAAUACCGGAUAGGAGCUCCUGCUGCAUGGUGGGGGUUGGAAAGUUUCGGCGGUUGGUGAUGGACUCGCGGCUUAUCAGCUUGUUGGUGGGGUAGUGGCUUACCAAGGCUUUGACGGGUAGCCGGCCUGAGAGGGUGACCGGCCAAAUUGGGACUGAGAUACGGCCCAGCCUACUACGGGAGGCAGCAGUGGGGAAUAUUGCACAAUGGGCGGAAGCAUGAUGCAGCAACGCCGCGUGCGGGAUGACGGCCUUCGGGUUGUAAACCGCUUUCGCCUGUGACGAAGCGUGAGUGACGGUAAUGGGUAAAGAAGCACCGGCUAACUACGUG
This 468-nucleotide ribosomal RNA is filed under the name uncultured bacterium. Its description in RNAcentral is "partial 16S ribosomal RNA". It matches the Rfam family "Bacterial small subunit ribosomal RNA", at positions 28 to 507 of the family's 1533-position model. The record is from RNAcentral.